UAUUUGUCGAAGAAGAGAAUAGUAAUUUCAUCAAGAGUUUAAAGAGAGUCAGUGUUUGCUGGAAACUGAUACCUUGUUGAUUUGAAUCCGCCUCAGAGACUUAUUACGAUGAGUAAUACGGGUAAAGACCGUUAAGAUGAAAGAGUGGGUUAAAUUUAUUUUAACCAAUAAGGGUGGCAACGCGAGACAUUCGUCCCUAGU
Molecule: non-coding RNA, 201 nt
Filed under: Clostridium cellulovorans
Lineage: Bacteria; Bacillati; Bacillota; Clostridia; Eubacteriales; Clostridiaceae
Description: T-box sequence
Rfam family: T-box leader
About the family: Uncharged tRNA acts as the effector for transcription antitermination of genes in the T-box leader family. T-boxes are found upstream of many aminoacyl-tRNA synthetase genes and some amino acid biosynthetic genes usually in Gram-positive bacteria. The anticodon of a specific tRNA base pairs to a specifier sequence within the T-box motif, and the NCCA acceptor tail of the tRNA base pairs to a conserved bulge in the T-box antiterminator hairpin.
Source: RNAcentral